RNAcentral lists this ribosomal RNA (372 nucleotides) under uncultured organism. RNAcentral describes it as "bacterial SSU rRNA". It matches the Rfam family "Bacterial small subunit ribosomal RNA", at positions 526 to 896 of the family's 1533-position model. The record is from RNAcentral.
CAGAGGUGGCAAGCGUUGUUCGGAAUUACUGGGCGUAAAGGGCGCGUAGGUGGUCUUGUCAGUCAGACGUGAAAUCCCCAGGCUUAACCUGGGAACAGCGUCUGAUACUACGAGACUUGAGUUCGGGAGAGGGAUGUGGAAUUCCAGGUGUAGCGGUGAAAUGCGUAGAUAUCUGGAGGAACACCGGUGGCGAAGGCGGCAUCCUGGACCGAAACUGACACUGAUGCGCGAAAGCCAGGGGAGCAAACGGGAUUAGAUACCCCGGUAGUCCUGGCCCUAAACGAUGAGUGCUUGGUGUGGCGGGUAUCGAUCCCUGCCGUGCCGAAGCUAACGCAUUAAGCACUCCGCCUGGGGAGUACGGUCGCAAGGCUG